UUAAUACAAAAAUUUCUAUCAGGAAUGUCACUUGAAAAAACAGAAAAGUUUGAUGGGGUUGAUAUCAAAGAGGAGAUGACAGACGCCCAACCAGUUAACCCUACUUCAACCUGGUCAUCAUCAGUAUGUACUUGUAAAUGUGAGGAAGAGAACGGAAAUAACAACCUGAAAGCUGAAGCCGUGCUAUGUAGUCAGUUUGAAGCUGGUUCAGAACACCUCAACCAAGUUCCAGCCACUGGAAGUGCCCAGGACAGUAGUAGCCACAAGAGGCGUAAGAUGUUAGCUCCCGAGAAGCCCUCCAAGCAAUCUAAUCUGAAACAGUUCAAGGCCUCGACCACACAGUUUAAAGGCCCCAACAGCACUACCCAGCCUGUGGACACCCUCGGACCUCAAUUCAAGAGCCAGGACAACACAAGCUUAACGUCGGAGGAGUUCAUGCGGCGCACUUUGACUGAGAUGGCCGAAAUGAAGAAACUGCUCCUGACCCUUGGCAGCCAGCAAACAGCUCCUACUCCACCCAGUGCCCCACAGCAGCAACCUGGUCUGGACAGAAGGCCUAUCGUCAGAGUGAGUCAGCGAGACGCAGCCCCUCUCCAGAGUGGUGAUUGGGUACAAGAUGCUGACUCAAUCAAAGCACUGAGUGUCAGAUCUGUCACCAGGAUAGAGGAUUUAAUAGAACGAUCUAUUACCCCUUAUCACAGGCUGAAGUGGUCAAAUCCGGAGAAAACACACGUGGAGUGCUCACUGUGCCCGCAACAAAAAUUCAAAGUACCUGCUGAACUGAACAAUUUUCACCCAGAGAAGGGAAGGGUUGGAAGGCACAAGGAUUUCAGCAACCUCAUCAGUCACUACAAAGCUCACUUGUCCAAGACAGUUGGACACCAACAAAAGGUUAAUGAAGUUGUGAGGCUGCAGAGGGGGCCGGGGGGAGGAGGAAGACCUCAGCCUUGAUGGUCUUUGUGGAUUCAACACGGUGAUGAGCCGGCUUGAAGCCAUAUAUAGAGGGGACGCUCUGGCAUCCUUCCCAAUGACCAUGAUGGGUCAGUCCAACCGGAAGGUGUUGAUAGGAACCUGAGAAAGAAACGUUGCGUGGAGACCGACCAUUAGGACCAAUCUGAUUGUCAGAUAGAUUUUUGAUGUGAUUGAAUGAGGGCGAAGUUCACCAAACUGUACAUAAAUAUCUUCCCAAGAGACUGAAAUCUAAUCUUACUUCUAUUAUUAUUAUGUUUGAGGUUAUGUUUUAUUAUGUCUGAUGAAAAUGUUUAAUUUUAUUAUGUUUCUGAUGAAAAGGUUAUUCGAUCUGCUAGAAACUAUGUUAGGACUUGGGAGUACAACUAUUCAUAAUCAGGUUCUGUAAAAAGAGAGUUCUCCGACACCUGCAUGCACUCUCGCUGGUGAAAUGAACAAUUAAGUCCAAGAAAUGUUCAUUAGCUUGUUCUGUAAAAUGUUAAUACUAUGUAUCAGUACUCA
RNA transcript from Bolinopsis microptera, 1470 nucleotides. RefSeq lists it as uncharacterized. The transcript has 7 exons. The record is from RefSeq and is a predicted model, not a curated record. Lineage: Eukaryota; Metazoa; Ctenophora; Tentaculata; Lobata; Bolinopsidae.